RNAcentral lists this ribosomal RNA (253 nucleotides) under uncultured bacterium. RNAcentral describes it as "partial 16S ribosomal RNA". It matches the Rfam family "Bacterial small subunit ribosomal RNA", at positions 524 to 776 of the family's 1533-position model. The record is from RNAcentral.
UACGUAGGGACCAAGCGUUGUUCGGAUUUACUGGGCGUAAAGGGCGCGUAGGCGGCUUGACAAGUCACUUGUGAAAUCUCCGGGCUUAACUCGGAACGGCCAAGUGAAACUGUCAUGCUAGAGUGCAGAAGGGGCAAUCGGAAUUCUUGGUGUAGCGGUGAAAUGCGCAGAUAUCAGGAGGAACACCGGUGGCGAAGGCGGGUCUCUGGGCCGAUACUGACGCUGAGGAGCGAAAGCGUGGGGAGCGAACAGG